This 229-nucleotide ribosomal RNA is filed under the name uncultured bacterium. RNAcentral's name for it is "partial 16S ribosomal RNA". It matches the Rfam family "Bacterial small subunit ribosomal RNA", at positions 568 to 796 of the family's 1533-position model. The record is from RNAcentral.
UGCGUAGGCGGGCUAAUAAGUUAGUGGUGAAAGCCCCCGGCUCAACCGGGGAACUGCCAUUAAUACUGUCAUUCUUGAGUAUAGUUGAAGUGGGCGGAAUGUAUCAUGUAGCGGUGAAAUGCUUAGAUAUGAUACAGAACACCGAUAGCGUAGGCAGCUUGCUAAACUAUAACUGACGCUCAGGCACGAAAGCGUGGGGAGCAAACAGGAUUAGAUACCCUGGUAGUCC